Molecule: unclassified non-coding RNA, 214 nt
Filed under: uncultured fungus
Lineage: Eukaryota; Fungi
Description: sequence contains ITS2
Rfam family: 5.8S ribosomal RNA (bases 1-52)
Source: RNAcentral
AACGCACAUUGCGCCCUUUGGUAUUCCGAAGGGCAUGCCUGUUCGAGCGUCAUUACACUAUUCUUCGGAGUAUUGGCACUGACUAACGUCUUGCCUAAAACACUUGGUGGUAACUAUCAAUCACGCAUAGUAAUCUCUGCGAAGGCUGAUGGGUAAACACUUGAAAUUAAACUUGUUUGACCUCGGAUCAGGUAGGGAUACCCGCUGAACUUAA